RNAcentral lists this ribosomal RNA (253 nucleotides) under uncultured bacterium. RNAcentral describes it as "partial 16S ribosomal RNA". It matches the Rfam family "Bacterial small subunit ribosomal RNA", at positions 524 to 776 of the family's 1533-position model. The record is from RNAcentral.
UACGGAGGGGGCCAGCGUUGUUCGGAAUUAUUGGGCGUAAAGCGCGCGCAGGUGGUUCCUUAAGUCUGAUGUGAAAGCCCACGGCUCAACCGUGGAGGGUCAUUGGAAACUGGGGAACUUGAGUGCAGAAGAGGAAAGUGGAAUUCCAAGUGUAGCGGUGAAAUGCGUAGAGACUUGGAGGAACACCAGUGGCGAAGGCGACUUUCUGGUCUGUAACUGACACUGAGGCGCGAAAGCGUGGGGAGCAAACAGG